This 433-nucleotide ribosomal RNA is filed under the name uncultured bacterium. Its description in RNAcentral is "partial 16S ribosomal RNA". It matches the Rfam family "Bacterial small subunit ribosomal RNA", at positions 29 to 507 of the family's 1533-position model. The record is from RNAcentral.
AACGAACGCUGGCGGCAUGCCUAACACAUGCAAGUCGAACGAGACCUUCGGGUCUAGUGGCGCACGGGUGCGUAACGCGUGGGAACCUGCCCUUAGGUUCGGAAUAACUCCCCGAAAGGGGUGCUAAUACCGGAUAAUGUCUUCGGACCAAAGAUUUAUCGCCUUUGGAUGGGCCCGCGUUGGUUUAGCUAGUUGGUAGGGUAAAAGCCUACCAAGGCGACGAUCCAUAGCUGGUCUGAGAGGAUGAUCAGCCACACUGGGACUGAGACACGGCCCAGACUCCUACGGGAGGGAGCAGUGGGGAAUAUUGGACAAUGGGCGAAAGCCUGAUCCAGCAAUGCCGCGUGAGUGAUGAAGGCCUUAGGGUUGUGAAGCUCUUUUACCCGGGAUGAUAAUGACAGUACCGGGAGAAUAAGCACCGGCUAACUCCGUG